RNAcentral lists this ribosomal RNA (447 nucleotides) under uncultured bacterium. RNAcentral's name for it is "bacterial SSU rRNA". It matches the Rfam family "Bacterial small subunit ribosomal RNA", at positions 355 to 825 of the family's 1533-position model. The record is from RNAcentral.
UCGGGAAUUUUGGGCAAUGGGCGAAAGCCUGACCCAGCAACGCCGCGUGAAGGAUGAAGUAUUUCGGUAUGUAAACUUCGAAAGAAUAGGAAGAAUAAAUGACGGUACUAUUUAUAAGGUCCGGCUAACUACGUGCCAGCAGCCGCGGUAAUACGUAGGGACCAAGCGUUGUUCGGAUUUACUGGGCGUAAAGCGUGCGCAGGCGGCUUUGCAAGACAGAUGUGAAAUCCCCGGGCUCAACCUGGGAACUGCAUUUGUGACUGCAAGGCUAGAGUACGGUAGAGGGGGAUGGAAUUCCGCGUGUAGCAGUGAAAUGCGUAGAUAUGCGGAGGAACACCGAUGGCGAAGGCAAUCCCCUGGACCUGUACUGACGCUCAUGCACGAAAGCGUGGGGAGCAAACAGGAUUAGAUACCCCUGUAGUCCCUGAGCGGGCUGGCAAGGCGCAU